RNAcentral lists this unclassified non-coding RNA (466 nucleotides) under Hevea brasiliensis (rubber tree). Lineage: Eukaryota; Viridiplantae; Streptophyta; Magnoliopsida; Malpighiales; Euphorbiaceae. The record is from RNAcentral.
UGAUAAAAGUCAUACAUUACUUUCAUCCAAGUCCAUUUGAAAAUAAAUCAGUGCACUUGUCUAUUUUAUACUUUGACAGCAGUUAGAAGCUUUGUAGUUAAGUCCAUCCUACAUUAAACUCAUUACAUGAAGUCACAAUAGUUAGAAAAUGUGAUUUCAGUUUAGCGAUCUCAAGUUCAAUCCCAUUAGAAUUGGAGUUUGGACAUGAAUGUUAUGCCAGACAAAGAGGACAACUUUAAUGACAGGAAUUUUUGAGGACAACUGGGUUGCAAUAGGGUAAGGUUGAAGAUCAAAUAGAACGAGAAAUUAAAGGUUUUGGAGCAGUUUAAAGUUGCAGGUCUACACCAUAAACAGUACCCACAAACAGCAUUUCAGGCCAAAUAUUAGAGAACUUGACACAGAUUAAUGUACAAUUUAGGGUUUCGAUAAAAAGUUUCUAGGUUUUGAGAUGGAUAAGAAAAGGGGG